Castor canadensis (American beaver) is the source of this 709-nucleotide non-coding RNA. The record is from the annotation of a RefSeq genome assembly. Lineage: Eukaryota; Metazoa; Chordata; Mammalia; Rodentia; Castoridae.
UAUUUAAAAUCACUCCUUGGUGAACUGAGGAGAAAGAAUGAUGAGAUCCUUGAAUGCUUUACUAGUGAUCCUGUGGCUUCAAUUGAUCUGGGUGAGCAGCCAACAAAAAGAGGUGGAGCAGCAUCCGGAAUCCCUCAGUGUUCCAGAAGGAGCCAUGGCUUCUCUCAACUGCACUUACAGAGACAGUGCUUCUCAGAACUUCGGGUGGUACAGACAGUAUCCUGGGAAAGGCCUCAAGCUGCUGGUGUCCACAUUCUCCAGUGGCAACAAAGACGAAGGAAGAUACACAGCACAUCUUAAUAAAGCCAGCCGGUAUUUUUCCCUGCAUAUCAGAGGCUCCCAGCCCAGUGACUCAGCCACCUACCUCUGCGCAGUGAGCACACAGUGCUCCCCAGACACCUGCAGCCUGCACCAAAACCUAUGGGGACUCCUGCAGGGCCUGAGGCAGAUACCCCGACAAGGCCUCCAGCUCCUCCUGAAACACACCUCAGGAGACAGCACCAAAGGCUUCCGGGCCACUCUCAACAAGGCCAAAGCAUCCUUCCACUUGCAGAAGCCCUGGGCUCAGGAGGAGGAUGCAGCUGUGUACUUCUGUGCUCUUUGUGGCACAGUGACCGCUCUUGCAAGGGAAGCAGAGCGCAAACCCUUCAGAGUUAUGCCAAGUACUUCCUGCCAGCCUGUCUAUGGCCACAGUGGCACCUUCCUCUAG